CCACACACAAAAAAAGAACUCAUGUUCAGAUUAUAUGUAGAACUACAACUCACACAAAAUAUCCAAUAUAAUUAUGGGCAAGGGUAUGAAUUCCUCAAGGGAGAUAACAAAUGGCCAAUAAAACACAUGAAAAUAUGCUUAACAUCACUGGCCACCAGGGAAGUACAAAUCAAAAUCAUGAAAUAGCACCUCACACCUACUAAGAUAACCACUAUACAAAUUGUUUCAAAAGAAGAAGCCAAGUAUUGGCAAGGAUAAGGAAAAAUAGGAAUCCUUGCGAGUUGCUGGUGGGCACGUGAAACAGUGCAGCCACCGUGGAAAGCUGCCUGGUGGCUCCUCAAGAACUGACGGAACUGCCGCGUGACCCAGCAAUCUCACUUGCUCGUAUAUUCCCUAAGAAGCGAGAGCGGAACACUGACACUCAUGUUCACAGAUGUGUUACUCAACAGAGGAGAGGCAGGAAUGAGAAGGGCCCAAGUGUCCACCCACAGGUGGAUGGGUUCCUGUACCACGGAACCAUGUUCUCACACCUGCUGCAACAGGGACAAACCCUGAAAAUACCCUGAGAUCAGCCAGAUACAGAGGACACCUGCUGUCAGGUCGACUUGCAUGAGAACAGUGAGCUUCAAAGGAAGGUAGAGCAGGGUCUACCCAGCAGUGGAGGGCAGAAAGGAGAAGUGGAAUUAUUACCUCCCAGGUCGAGUGGCCGUUCUGUUAGCUUCUUGAGGAGCCACCAGGCAGCUUUCCACCGCAGCUGCACAGUUUGGGAUGAUGAAAACCUUGUGGAGAUGGAUAGGGGUGAUGGUUGCUGCUGAGAGGGUAGAUGUUGUUGUAUAUGCUUUAGCGCGCACACACACACACACGCACCACACACCACACACACCAGACACACACACACCAGACACACACACACACCAGACACACACACACACACACACACACAUUUCUGAAAAAAAAAAAAAAGAUCUUUCUUAGACUCUGGUCUCAAGAAUGUCUGGAUGAGAUGAGGUCUGUACAAGUAAAAUGCCCCUCUUGGUUACCCCUGCCCAGAUGGCCCACAGGGUUCCUUCUGAGGACUCCUGCUCAGGGCAAAUGGGUCAUGGGCCAUGUCAGGUUUCACUUUCAGCAUUUUCUGUAAUAAUUUCAAAGCAGGGAGAGAAACCUGUCCUGGGGAAGGUUUAGCUGAACUUGAUCUUCUAUUUCUGGGCCACUGAAGCAGGCAGGAGCUCUCUCUCUCUCUCCCUUGGCAAGCAUGAUACAUGCUUAUUGUUGAUAAUUUUGCAAACAUGGAACAGCACCCAUGAAAUAAUACUCAAGGCAUAUCAUCACUCAGAGAAAGCACAGGGGUCACGGGGGUGCAUUUGUGGAGCUUCCCCUUCUACUCAUGAUGCACCCUGAAUCCUUGUGGCCAUAAGUGGUGUUCCGGGUGGUGAAGACCCCCCCCCCCAUCAUCAUGAAGUGUCUCAGCAUACUUCAGUGAUUGCCAAGCCAGACGUUGUGCAGAUUCACCUUCUUUGCCCAAUUCUGUGUCGUGGGCCACCCAGGUGAUGUUCAGGUGUGCUGGGAUGAACAUCUCCUGUAUACCUCUCACAAACCCCUCAGGUCACCUGGGAGAGUCUCUGACUCCAUGGAGGGCUGGCUCUUUAAGGCUCUAGAAUAUUAUCAGUUGGCCCUUCAGGAGGGCAGACAGACUGGUCUAGUACCAACAGCAUGUGGGAGUGCUUUUUAUCUAGAGGUGUCUUAUUCUACCUGGCUGGAGACCUGCUACAGCAGGAACUAACUGUGAGGACAUGAGCCCAAGCCUGGGGCCUUUGGUCCACUGUGGACUCCUGUCUUUUCCCCUUUGCUGAGCAAUCCCAAGACAGUGGGCUCCGAGUUCUGCAGGACCCCGGUUCUCUGACUCUGAGGAAGGCUGGACUCCUGGGUGUCCCCAGGGGCCGCUGAGUGCUGCUAGCUCCUGGCUUGCUGUAGGGCUGGGCCUGCCUAGGGCGGGCCGUGGGGAAUGCCUUCCAGUCUCCCCCAGGCCUACGAGCUCUUCACUCUCACCUGCAGGGCAGUGUCCACUGUUGCAGGGGCAGCAACGUUGGACACAUCUUUGCUGUGAAACUGGAUCCCUAAGAAGAGGACAUAUGAGCAUCAGCCCCUAAAGCCCACCUUCAGGAUCCCCAGAGGGAGGGGGCUCUUGCACGACACCCCAGUGUUUGGCGUGUGUGGUUCUAAAAAUAAAGUUAGUUUCUUUUGACAAGUGACUCCUGAUUGUGCCCAGCCAGACUGCGGCACAACACAAUUGGCCAGUGACACAGGGGCUCUACACCAAAUCUGGGGCUGACCUGAGGCACCCUCUGUCCAUUCUGACCAAUCGCAAGGAAGGCCAGGCACAAUGGAGACACACGGUGCUGUCUGUCCCUCCAAGCCCCCUGUCAUUCAGCCCCCCCCCCCCAGGCCACAGAGGUCCUCCACUGGCCUCCCUAACAGUGGGACCGGCAGCAGGUUGGCCCCGCCUCCCUCCAGCCUUCCACCUCCCACCAUUCCCCAGCGCUGGCCACCAACUUUCCCCAACACACCAUCCUCAGGCCAGAGAGAGCUGCCUGCCUUCUCCUACAUGCUGGUCCCUCUGAAGGGGAAGCUCAGAGCUGCUCCUCUAUUUAUUCCUCCUGUGAAAAACAGCUGCUGUGGCUGCUGGCUCAGGACACCACCUCCUCCGGGAAGCUCUCCAGGAUGGAUCCCUCAGCGCUGAAGAGCUGUUGCCCUGGCGCUGGAUCUCCCUGCCUUCUGGUACAAGGUCCACGUCUUUGUCUUGAGCCUCGUUGGGCUUGAGUUGCCUGAGAGUAAGGACUGUGUCUCAGUAUCCUCAAGGCCCCAAGAGGGUGUCGAGUCGCUGUAUCACGAGGAGCAAGUCCAGGACGGCAGUCUGAGAGCAAGCUGCUGAGCACUGAGGAGUGGAGCAAUGCCAGUCAGAGGCGAGUUCACACCAUCGGGUGCAGACAGGGCAGCUUCAGCUUCACCCUUGACAAGAGGGACUAGAAGGCAAAAGGAAGCCGGAACGAGAUACAAAUGCAUGUCGCCGAGAGAAACUGCUUCCCUGCGUCUCCUUGCCAUUAAUUGGCUGUGCGACCUUGUGAGAGUGGCCUCGCUCUCUCUGGGCCUCAGGUCUCUCUUCAUGCUGAGCUGCCCUCGGUGAGGCUGGGCACAGGAUUUCAUUACAAUUCCUGAUGGUGCCCACCAUCCUCAUCAGCAAAACAUGCACAGCGCAGCCUGUCCUUGGAAGGGAGGAUGAGGUUCCCGUAGAACAUUCUAUAAGCCUCUGUGCAGGCUCCCAGCUGCCACCGGCUAUGCAUCUCCUCCUUGUGGGUGGCCAGAGCUCAAUGGUGCUUGCCCACCACACACUGGAUUCAAUCCCUGGUACACACAGACACACACACACACACACAAAAUAAUAAUAAUAAUAAUAAUAAUAAUAAUAAUAAAGAAAGAAAAAGAAAAAAGAAUGAAAAGAAAAGAAAACUAAUUUCCUAAAGCCUCAAUGUGGAAAAAUAAGAUUUGGCAAUUUUCUGUAGGUCUGCAAUCUUUUCUUUGAAAUUUGGCCAGCCUGUGGAUUCCAGAUGUCCAAGAACUGCUGUCAACAUUCUCCCUCCUGAGGUUGCUAGGGAAAGUCACUGGGUCACUACUCCCUGCUUAGAGCCUGGCGUGCAUCCCUUGCCUCUACACCUCCUGUCGGACACCUUGGUGGGGUACCAGGUGCUGGUUUGCAGCUAGUACAGAAACACAGCUCCUGGCCUCUCCAGAGGCUCAGGGUUGGGGACAGUCCUGGGACACAGUGGAGCCCAGAGGCUCAGUGGGGCCCUCCCAAGAAAGGCCUGCUUCCUGGAUGAGUGAGUCUCUUUCCAAGCACUGGUAAUGCCAAAGACAGUGGCCUGUCCCCAUUGCCCACAGAAUAAGCCACCGUGGCUAGCACCGGCUUCUCCAAUUAUGAAAUUAAUUAAUAUAUCCUGAGUGCUACUGUACCGUGGGAAUUCAGAGGUUCCUGCCCGAGAAGGGAGCCCAGGUUAGGUGAAUGAUCCUGACUUGAGUGACCAGAGUGGGCGGUGCUAUCAGAGAAUAGCUCCCAGCGCUAAAGGCUGUGUCAAAGCAUCUCCAGGACAAGCCCAGGUGUAUCCUUGUGUCUGGGUCACCAGGCUGGAGGCGGUGCUGGGAGACACAGCCAGUUCCAGAAGUGCUUCUGGAGGCCACCGCCGGCAGCCUGCCUCACAGUUCAGGGGACUGAGGCUGGAGAAGCCGGCGGGUCCCAGGAGUGCUGUCAGAGCCCUGGGGCUCCCUGCCCAACCUCUUUCCUGUCCCGCACCGUGGGUCCGCCGUUCUCAGGGCCACGCAGCACUCUUGGCAGAUGGAGAGGGCUCCUGCAGGAGGCUGGAGGUGGAGUGGGGUGGAGGGCACCUGGCGGCGAGAGUUGUGGGGGGCUCCUGGCAGCAGUGGGAGGGGCCCUGGCAGGGGACGCGAGGGGCUCCGGGCCGGGCCGCCCGCCCAGUCGCGCUGCCAGGCUGAUUAGCAUGGGCGAGGGGCGCUGGCGCGGGGGCGCCGCCGGCCGAGCUGGCACGUCCUCCGCGGGCCCAGCUGUCCAGGCCGAGACACAAAGCGCCUCAGACGGCGGCGGCGCUCGGCCAUUCACGCGCAGGGGCGGCCGGGCGCGGGCGGAGAGGAGUUCCCGCCGCCGGGGCGAAGAAUAGCGCCUGGGCCGGGCGGGGCUUGGCCGCCCCGCGCUCCUGACCUUGAACCUUUGUGACUGGAGCGCAUGCAAAUCGCGGCGGGGCUGCGCCAAGCCCCGAGGGCGCUGCGCCGCCCGGGGUGUCCCGGCGAACAAUGCGCCACUGUCCCCGCGCCGCGCCGCGGGCUGGGAACGGCGCGGGCACGCACCGGCGGCGCGGCGCGGAAUGCCAAUGCCGAGCCGCAGGCGUGGUGCACGGCGAGUGUGCACGCGCGUGUGCGUGUGCACGUGGUGGUGCGGGGUCUCGGCUCACCCUCCUUGCGCGCCGCGCAUCGCGCUCGGGCGCACCUUCCGCGGAUGCGGGGUCCACGGGAUCUCAGACUCUAGGUGCAUGCCCCCAUCUCCUGCCCUUCCUGCCCUACGUUAGAUUGAUUUUUAAGCCCUUUAGAUCAUCAGUAACAAAAUUAAGGCUGCCCAGAUCCCUGCCUUACCCUGAGCGAGCUACGCCCCCUGGGACGCGCCCACGGCCUGUCUUCUUGAGGUGAAUGCAGGCCAGCAUCUCCACUUUUUCAAAGGGACUGACAUUUGUUAGUAACCCCCUUCACCAAUGUCCCCUUUAAAGGCUGCACAGGAUUGGUCUCUGUGGUUGUGCCAUGGCUCCUGCCACCAGUGUUCCCCAUUAUAGGGACAACAGCUUGUCCACAGAGUCGUCUCAAUCCCACAAGUGCUGUUCAAAGAGAAAAGACAGGGCCUGACCAGGAGUUGCUAUAGUGAGCUCAGAAGGUUGUGCCAGGCCCAGACGUGGGCACUGCAGCAUCUGCCCUUACCAGCCCAGAGACUGACUCGGUCAUGUGACCAGCUAGACAAGAAACAGCAAGCAAAUGGCCAGGGUGGAGGCUUCCCCUGGUGCUUCUGCACACGUGUCUCACCUAGGUGAUUCUAGCACGUUCCAUUCAUUUGAAUUGGACACACUGUGAGAGGACACAGAGCCACAGCAGAGUCAGACUUCCCAACCCUGCAGCGACAGGUGCCUUGCCACUUCCUCCUUAACGAGCAGACGGAUACGAAUGAUGGGAACAUGAGUUUAAGAGAAUAAUUCUAUAAAAUGGGCCCACAGGGCUCACUCCCUCCACUCUCGCUUCCAAGAAGCAAUUUACCUGCAGCCCUACCUGGCCUCAUUGGACAGGAUACGUCACAUUCCUCAGCAAACUACCUUUCACUGUAGGAGAAAUGCAGGCCCCAAAUAAUGUUGAUAAAAGGAACUUGAGUUAUACCCUGAAGGAGGAGACUUUUGUGACCAAAUCUCAACAUUCUGGUAGAUAAGGAUAGUUUCUCCUAAACCAUAAAAGCUGUAAGAAUCUAUGGUUAAGAAUCCAGUUAGAACCAGUCAGCAGGGGUCAAGGUGAUCUAGAGUUGCCAUGACAGUGGGGACUUGAAAAUGUGAUGNUCCACUGUUGCAGGGGCAGCAACGUUGGACACAUCUUUGCUGUGAAACUGGAUCCCUAAGAAGAGGACAUAUGAGCAUCAGCCCCUAAAGCCCACCUUCAGGAUCCCCAGAGGGAGGGGGCUCUUGCACGACACCCCAGUGUUUGGCGUGUGUGGUUCUAAAAAUAAAGUUAGUUUCUUUUGACAAGUGACUCCUGAUUGUGCCCAGCCAGACUGCGGCACAACACAAUUGGCCAGUGACACAGGGGCUCUACACCAAAUCUGGGGCUGACCUGAGGCACCCUCUGUCCAUUCUGACCAAUCGCAAGGAAGGCCAGGCACAAUGGAGACACACGGUGCUGUC
This 6491-nucleotide long non-coding RNA is filed under the name Marmota monax (woodchuck). The record is from RNAcentral. Lineage: Eukaryota; Metazoa; Chordata; Mammalia; Rodentia; Sciuridae.